This 253-nucleotide ribosomal RNA is filed under the name uncultured bacterium. RNAcentral describes it as "partial 16S ribosomal RNA". It matches the Rfam family "Bacterial small subunit ribosomal RNA", at positions 524 to 776 of the family's 1533-position model. The record is from RNAcentral.
UACGGGGGGGGCAAGCGUUGUUCGGAAUUACUGGGCGUAAAGGGCUUGUAGGCGGCCAACUAAGUCAGACGUGAAAUCCCUCGGCUUAACCGGGGAACUGCGUCUGAUACUGGAUGGCUAGAGAUUGGGAGAGGGAUGCGGAAUUCCAGGUGUAGCGGUGAAAUGCGUAGAUAUCUGGAGGAACACCGGUGGCGAAGGCGGCAUCCUGGACCAACACUGACGCUGAGGAGCGAAAGCGUGGGGAGCGAACGGG